RNAcentral lists this ribosomal RNA (506 nucleotides) under uncultured bacterium. Its description in RNAcentral is "partial 16S ribosomal RNA". It matches the Rfam family "Bacterial small subunit ribosomal RNA", at positions 29 to 523 of the family's 1533-position model. The record is from RNAcentral.
AGUGAACGCUGGCGGUAGGCCUAACACAUGCAAGUCGAACGGCAGCACAGAGGAGCUUGCUCCUUGGGUGGCGAGUGGCGGACGGGUGAGGAAUACAUCGGAAUCUACUCUGUCGUGGGGGAUAACGUAGGGAAACUUACGCUAAUAUCGCAUACGACCUACGGGUGAAAGCAGGGGAUCUUCGGACCUUGCGCGAUUGAAUGAGCCGAUGUCGGAUUAGCUAGUUGGCGGGGUAAAGGCCCACCAAGGCGACGAUCCGUAGCUGGUCUGAGAGGAUGAUCAGCCACACUGGAACUGAGACACGGGCCAGACUCCUACGGGAGGCAGCAGUGGGGAAUAUUGGACAAUGGGCGCAAGCCUGAUCCAGCCAUACCGCGUGGGUGAAGAAGGCCUUCGGGUUGUAAAGCCCUUUUGUUGGGAAAGAAAUCCAUCUGGUUAAUACCCGGGUGGGAUGACGGUACCCAAAGAAUAAGCACCGGCUAACUUCGUGCCAGCAGCCGCCGCAG